GAUGAAGAACGCAGCGAAAUGCGAUAAGUAAUGUGAAUUGCAGAAUUCAGUGAAUCAUCGAAUCUUUGAACGCACAUUGCGCCCGCUAGUAUUCUGGCGGGCAUGCCUGUCCGAGCGUCAUUUCAACCCUCAAGCCCCCGGGCUUGGUGUUGGGGAUCGGCGAGCCUCCGCGCCCGCCGUCCCCUAAAUCUAGUGGCGGUCUCGCUGUAGCUUCCUCUGCGUAGUAGCACACCUCGCACUGGGAAACAGCGCGGCCACGCCGUUAAACCCCCAACUUCUGAACGUUUGACCUCGGAUCAGGUAGGAAUACCCGCUGAACUUAAGCAUAUAAUAAGCGGAGGA
Molecule: unclassified non-coding RNA, 342 nt
Filed under: soil metagenome
Description: partial contains 5.8S ribosomal RNA, internal transcribed spacer 2, and large subunit ribosomal RNA
Rfam family: 5.8S ribosomal RNA (bases 1-120)
Source: RNAcentral